This 394-nucleotide ribosomal RNA is filed under the name uncultured bacterium. Its description in RNAcentral is "partial 16S ribosomal RNA". It matches the Rfam family "Bacterial small subunit ribosomal RNA", at positions 338 to 729 of the family's 1533-position model. The record is from RNAcentral.
CCUACGGGUGGCAGCAGUGAGGAAUAUUGGUCAAUGGGCGCGAGCCUGAACCAGCCAAGUCGCGUGAGGGAUGACGGCCCUACGGGUUGUAAACCUCUUUUAUCAGGGAGCAAAGUGAGCCACGAGUGCCGCGGUGUGAGUACUUGAAGAAUAAGGAUCGGCUAACUCCGUGCCAGCAGCCGCGGUAAUACGGAGGAUGCGAGCGUUAUCCGGAUUUAUUGGGUUUAAAGGGAGCGUAGCCGGGUUCGUAAGGCCGGUGGGAAAGUUUGGGGCUCAAACCUAACAUUGCAAUUGAUACUGGUAGUCUAGAGUACAGGUGAGGUAAGCGGAAUUCGUGGUGUAGCGGUGAAAUGCGUAGAUAUCACGAAGAACUCCGAUUGCGAAGGCAGCUUAC